GCAGUCGACGGUAGCACAGAGAGCUUGCUCUCGGGUGACGAGUGGCGGACGGGUGAGUAAUGUCUGGGAAACUGCCUGAUGGAGGGGGAUAACUACUGGAAACGGUAGCUAAUACCGCAUAACGUCGCAAGACCAAAGAGGGGGACCUUCGGGCCUCUUGCCAUCAGAUGUGCCCAGAUGGGAUUAGCUAGUAGGUGGGGUAACGGCUCACCUAGGCGACGAUCCCUAGCUGGUCUGAGAGGAUGACCAGCCACACUGGAACUGAGACACGGUCCAGACUCCUACGGGAGGCAGCAGUGGGGAAUAUUGCACAAUGGGCGCAAGCCUGAUGCAGCCAUGCCGCGUGUAUGAAGAAGGCCUUCGGGUUGUAAAGUACUUUCAGCGGGGAGGAAGGUGUUGUGGUUAAUAACCGCAGCAAUUGACGUUACCCGCAGAAGAAGCACCGGCUAACUCCGUGCCAGCAGCCGCGGUAAUACGGAGGGUCCGAGCGUUAAUCGGAAUUACUGGGCGUAAAGCGUGCGCAGGCGGUUUGUUAAGCGAGAUGUGAAAGCCCUGGGCUCAACCUAGGAAUAGCAUUUCGAACUGGCGAACUAGAGUCUUGUAGAGGGGGGUAGAAUUCCAGGUGUAGCGGUGAAAUGCGUAGAGAUCUGGAGGAAUACCGGUGGCGAAGGCGGCCCCCUGGACAAAGACUGACGCUCAUGCACGAAAGCGUGGGGAGCAACAGGAUUAGAUGCCCUGGUAGUCCACGCCGUAAACGAUGUCUACUCGGAGUUUGGUGUCUU
RNAcentral lists this ribosomal RNA (782 nucleotides) under uncultured bacterium. RNAcentral describes it as "bacterial SSU rRNA". It matches the Rfam family "Bacterial small subunit ribosomal RNA", at positions 57 to 833 of the family's 1533-position model. The record is from RNAcentral.